RNAcentral lists this ribosomal RNA (438 nucleotides) under uncultured bacterium. Its description in RNAcentral is "bacterial SSU rRNA". It matches the Rfam family "Bacterial small subunit ribosomal RNA", at positions 958 to 1398 of the family's 1533-position model. The record is from RNAcentral.
AACGCGAAGAACCUUACCAGGGUUUGACAUCCUGUGCUCGCCGGAGAGAUCCGGUUUUCCCGCAAGGGACACAGAGACAGGUGCUGCAUGGCUGUCGUCAGCUCGUGUCGUGAGAUGUUGGGUUAAGUCCCGCAACGAGCGCAACCCUCGCCUUUAGUUGCCAUCAUUAAGUUGGGCACUCUAGAGGGACCGCCGGCGACAAGCCGGAGGAAGGUGGGGAUGACGUCAAGUCCUCAUGGCCCUUACACCCUGGGCUACACACGUGCUACAAUGGCGGUGACAAUGGGCAGCUAACCCGCGAGGGCAAGCUAAUCCCAAAAAACCGUCCCAGUUCAGAUUGCACUCUGCAACUCGGGUGCAUGAAGGUGGAAUCGCUAGUAAUCGCAGAACAGCAGGCUGCGGUGAAUACGUUCCCGGGCCUUGUACACACCGGAGUGC